GUAAUCAUUUUGAUGAUUUGGAAUACACGACUAGUUCUCCAUUUCAUAGCCCCAAGAUGAUGAUAAUUAAUACUCCCUCCGUCCCGCGAAGCAUGACACGUUUGAGUUCGGCACGGGAAUUAAGGAAUUGUAGAUUAGUGUUUUAAGUGUGUAAUUAAUAAAGUAUAAAAUUGAUAAAGUAGGAGAGAGAAGGUAAUAAAAGUGAUAAAGUAGGUGAGAGAAUAUAAUAAAGGUGAUAAAGUAGGAGAGAGAAUGUAAUAAUUAUUGACAAAAAAGGAAACGUGUCAUGCUUCGUGGGACAACCCAAAAUGGAAAGUGUGUCAUGCUUCGCGGGACGGAGGGAGUAACUUACAGAAAUUUAUAGAUUUCCACUUGAAAUUGAUUCUUUCACACAUUGAAUAAAUAAACCCCAAUUUGUUCGAAAAGAAAAAACUCAAAUUAAUAUUAAAUUCCAUCAUGUUUUCUUUUCAAAUUUUUAGGGCUACGUGAUAAAUUAUAAUUAUUACUAACUUUUUAAUUAUAACCUACAAGGGUGAAAUAGUAUUUUUAUUAAUAUUUUUAAUACUUUAUUAAAUAAGAGGUUACAAAGAGUAAAAUUGGGGCUAUGAAUAGAAUCUCCCUCAAAUUACAGCUCACAAUUUAGAACUAUCCCAAGAAAUAAAAUGAAUUAAUCUGGGCAUAAAAUUAAAUGUACUCAGCCCAACGUGGCCCAAAUGAAAUAAUUCAUAUAAGGUUUCAGCCCAUUACAACAUAACCUAAAAUCAGUUCAAGGAAUAAAAUAAAACAAAAGAUCUCAAAUGAAAUGAAUUAACCAAAGCCCAAUCCUUCUCCCCUAACAAUCGGUUCUCUCUCAUUCUCUCUCACUCUCUCUUUCAAACGCCGCUCAAGACCUCUCUCUCUCUCGCCCGAUCUGUCUCUUCACGAGCUCCGCCGCGAGCUGCUCCGGCGAGGACGACGGCCAGCUGAGGGCGCUGCUUCUCGGCUGUUUCCUCCUCUCCUCAAUUCGUCUCCCUCGAGCCAGAUGAAGGGAUGGGAAAAGAAGCCCUAAUUUCGUCAAAAUCAGAAAUCGCUGUUGCUGCUCUUCCGAAAUCCGGCGAACGGCCGACGCCUUCGUCCAUGACGCCGCUGCGGUUCUGAAAUCUCAGGCGACGUUGUCGCCCCAAGGCCGACGUUGCUCCGCCUGAAAACGCCGCCGUCCUGUGAUUUCCGGUGAGCCGGCGCUGUCCUAGGCGCUGCUUCUUUCCUCCUCAACUCUCAACGGAAGACCGUAAUUUGAGGGAGAAAAGUCGAGCCCUAGCUCUCCCUUCUUCCGACGCGGUCAGCCACCGCCGCGCCUGAAAGACUGGUGGGGGUCGUCGCCUCCCUCUGGCUCGCUGACACGAGUCAGCCGCUGCUGUCGUUGCUAGACGUUCGGCGAAUCGGAGCAGUCUCUCAUAGCUCUGUCGACCCGUAUUGCUUUUCAACACCAUCUCCGUUCUCAGCCCAAACUCUCAAGGUUCGACCCCAGGUCCCCAACUCUCUCAUUUAUCUUACGGAAAUCCGCUCAUGAAACGGGGUCUCCGUCUCUUUCUCGCUGUUUCAGUGCCAUCGGAGGAAGGCUCCUCCACCUUGACGAACAGGGCAGCCUGCCUCCGCCUGAUCUCGUCUACCUCAUAAACAAAGGUGAAAUUUGGAUCGUAAGAAGAUAGUUAAAGAAUACUUACUUCCUUGAAGCUUCUUGGCAGAGGACGAAUGAAGAUUUCUGCCCUUCUGAAAUUCUAAGUGUGGAAAGAAGAGAAUGGAAAUUUGGGGUUAAAAUGUGAAGUUAAAAGAGAGUUGUUGGCUGCUAAAAUUUGACUAAAUGAGAAAGGUUGCAGAUUGAGAUGUUAAAAGGCGUAGAAGGUGGGCGUAAAAAGAAAUGGCCUGACCUGGAGAAUGGUGGGAAGAGUUCACAUGGUGGAGCUAUAGUUGUUGUAGGCCUUUUUUUUUUUUUUUUUUUUUUAUGAAUAUGCUAAUUUAUUAUAAUAGGAAGAUAGGGAGAAUGAAGGUAAAUGGAAGUUCCAAAAAUUGAAAUG
This is a long non-coding RNA of Salvia miltiorrhiza (redroot sage), 2054 nucleotides long. RefSeq lists it as uncharacterized. The record is from RefSeq and is a predicted model, not a curated record. The transcript is spliced from 2 exons. NCBI's taxonomy places the organism in Eukaryota, Viridiplantae, Streptophyta, Magnoliopsida, Lamiales, Lamiaceae.